RNAcentral lists this ribosomal RNA (2059 nucleotides) under fermentation metagenome. RNAcentral describes it as "bacterial LSU rRNA". It matches the Rfam family "Bacterial large subunit ribosomal RNA", at positions 828 to 2925 of the family's 2925-position model. The record is from RNAcentral.
UCCAAUCGAACUCGGAGAUAGCUGGUUCUCCCCGAAAUAGCUUUAGGGCUAGCCUUGGAUGAUGAGCUUUGGAGGUAGAGCACUGAAUGGACUAGGGGCUGUAUAAGCUACCAAACCCUAUCAAACUCCGAAUGCCAAAGUUUUAAUCCAGGAGUCAGACUACGAGUGAUAAGAUCCGUGGUCAAAAGGGAAACAGCCCAGACCAUCAGCUAAGGUCCCAAAAUGCAGAUUAAGUGGUAAAGGAGGUGAGAUCUCAAAGACAACCAGGAUGUUGGCUUAGAAGCAGCCAUACAUUCAAAGAGUGCGUAAUAGCUCACUGGUCGAGAGGUCUUGCACCGAAGAUGUCCGGGGCUCAAAUCUGCUACCGAAGCUAUGGAUGUACGAAAAUACGUGGUAGGGGAGCAUCGUAUACGGAGCGAAGCCAUAUCGUAAGGAGUGGUGGACUGUAUACGAGAGAGAAUGCUGGCAUAAGUAACGAAAGAUAGGUGAGAAUCCUAUCCAUCGAAAACCUAAGGUUUCCUGAGGAAGGUUCGUCCACUCAGGGUUAGUCGGGACCUAAGUCGAGGCCGAAAGGCGUAGAUGAUGGACAAUCGGUUGAAAUUCCGAUACCACCUUUAAGCGUUUAAGAAAAGGGGUGACGCAGGAGGAUAAGCUGAGCGCACGGAUGGAAAAGUGCGUCUAAGAACUAAGUCAGACCUUCAAGGAAAAUCCGGGAGGUGACGAUAAGGUUUAAUGGGGAGCCGUAAGGCGAAGCAGCUGAAUUCACACUGCCAAGAAAAGCCUCUAUCGAGCAAGAAGGUGCCCGUACCGCAAACCGACACAGGUAGGUGAGGAGAGAAUCCUAAGAUGAGCGAGAGAACCCUUGUUAAGGAACUCGGCAAAUUAACCCCGUAACUUCGGGAGAAGGGGUACUCAAAAGAGUCGCAGUUAAAAGGCCCAAGCAACUGUUUAGCAAAAACACAGGUCUCUGCUAAGUCGCAAGACGAUGUAUAGGGGCUGACGCCUGCCCGGUGCUGGAAGGUUAAGGGGAGAGGUUAGCGAAAGCGAAGCUUUGAACUUAAGCCCCAGUAAACGGCGGCCGUAACUAUAACGGUCCUAAGGUAGCGAAAUUCCUUGUCGGGUAAGUUCCGACCCGCACGAAUGGCGUAAUGACUUGGGCACUGUCUCAACAAGGGACUCGGUGAAAUUGUAGUACCGGUGAAGAUGCCGGUUACCCGCGAUUAGACGGAAAGACCCCGUAGAGCUUUACUGUAGCUUAUCAUUGAGUUUCGGUAUUGUCUGUACAGGAUAGGUGGGAGGCUUAGAAGUAGGGGCGUCAGCUUCUAUGGAGCCAACGUUGGGAUACCACCCUGACAGUACUGAAACUCUAACCGGAGGCUUUGAAACAAGUCACGGGACAUUGUUAGGUGGGCAGUUUGACUGGGGCGGUCGCCUCCUAAAAAGUAACGGAGGCGCCCAAAGGUUCCCUCAGCGCGGUUGGAAAUCGCGCGCAGAGUGCAAAGGCAGAAGGGAGCCUGACUGCGAGACAAACAAGUCGAGCAGAGACGAAAGUCGGGCUUAGUGAUCCGGUGGUUCCGAGUGGAAGGGCCAUCGCUCAACGGAUAAAAGCUACCUCGGGGAUAACAGGCUGAUCUCCCCCAAGAGUCCACAUCGACGGGGAGGUUUGGCACCUCGAUGUCGGCUCGUCGCAUCCUGGGGCUGAAGUAGGUCCCAAGGGUUGGGCUGUUCGCCCAUUAAAGCGGUACGCGAGCUGGGUUCAGAACGUCGUGAGACAGUUCGGUCCCUAUCUGUCGCGGGCGUAGGAAAUUUGAAAGGAGCUGUCCUUAGUACGAGAGGACCGGGAUGGACAGACCUAUGGUGUACCAGUUGUCACGCCAGUGGCACCGCUGGGUAGCUAUGUCUGGAAGGGAUAAGCGCUGAAAGCAUCUAAGCACGAAGCCCACCUUAAGAUAAGAUUUCCCAUUAAGGUUCCUUAAAGAACAUGAGGUUGAUAGGUCGGAGGUGUAAGUACUGUGAGGUACUCAGCUGACCGAUACUAAUAGGCCGAGUGCUUGAUCAU